UCUUUCUAAUGCUAAAAAAAACGAACUAUAGGUGAAAUAGUGUAAGAUAUACCCCAUAUUAUGUAUUUAACUCUUUUGAAUAAUAUCAUCAGAGAUAAUUUGAUAUUCAGCAAAACAUUGGUGGCAAGUACGUUUUUUAACGCAUGGAUAUGCAUUAAUUAUUUCUUCUUAGUUAUCUAAUGUCGUAUAAGUAUUUUGUUAUUUAUGGUAUUUUUAUCGGUAUUAUUAUUUUAUAAACUCUGAUGUGGUAGAUUAAGUUGUGAGAUUGAACAUAAAUUACAUAUAGGGGUAAUAAUUUUGGAACCCCGUCAACAGGUAAAAAAUACGUUUUUGCGAUAACGGGAGUGGUUAUUCACUCAUUUUCAUUAUCCGUGUACACUUAUAGAUUAGACUAUUAGUCUGGAUUAAUGGUUAGGUACGAGUAUUGUAAUAUACACUCCUACACACUUUUGAUGAGUGUACCUAUACAAAAAAAUAUAUAUCUGUAAUCUCAAAAAAAAAUUGGGUCCGUAGUUAAAGAGUGCCAACCCUACGCUGUAUGACCUACCUGUACUGUAAUUAACCCGGGCUAUAUUUUGCUUGUGAUGUGUUAGGGUCAGGGCAAUUAUGGCUGCGUUACUUUCUCUUGAUAUAAAAAGACGUAACAUGAAAAUUUCGGAGCAAUAGUUUGUCAAAGGACUGUCUCAUUUCAAACAUAGACAGAGAGAAACAUAACAUAUUUGUCUUACCCUAGUACUAGCACCCAAAAGAAAAGGGUGAGUAUAGUUUUCGUGGUUCUUACUGACUGACAAAUUGGUUUGACCAACUAUAUUUUUUUUCUUAAUGGUAUGAAGGUAGGUACGGCAACCUCUAUUUGGUGUGAUCCAACACGUACUUGGAAGACUUUUUGAAUUAACUAUAAGUACACAGUAAAACUCGAUUUAUUUAUUACAAAAAAUGUUUUUUAUUAUUUUUUUUCGACUGAAUUUAGAUCACAAUCUAAUGCAGCUAGUCAGUGAAUUUUUUUCUCUUAAAAUAUUAGCCAAAGCUCAUAAAUGUUGUUUUAAAAUUUUAGCUAAGGAAAAAGUUAAUAUAUUUUGAGCGGGAUUGUUUUUUAAAACAUAAAUACUUUACACAAUUAUUCACGAUGAAUAAAAUAUAAUUAUUGUUAAAAUAUAUACCUACAAUAUGUGUUACCUAUACUAAUAACAAGGUGUUUGUAUAAGAAUGUAAUAACUAAUAAAUACUAUGUAUCUUCAUAUAAAUAAAAUACAAUUUAUAUUAUGUCUGUAAAUUAUUACAUUACUGUAGUAGCAAUAAGUAAUACAUACAAUAUAUGUUUGGUGGCAAAAUUGUUAGUUGUGGAACAUUAUGUUUAAAAUUGCAGAGUUAAAUUUAAUGAUGUAAUAUGUAAUAUUUGAGUACAGUAAGCUGCAGUUAUAUAAAUUCGUUUGCAGGGGGUCAGUUAUCUCUGGAGGUUACUGUACAUUGUAGUUUUCUUCUUAGCUCCAGCGUGAAAGUGAUGUUAUUGUCUAUAUUAAUGUAAUAUAAAAAUGUCUGCUCAUAUUUAGUAUGUAAAUGGAUGUUUGAAUACGUCUUAAUACAUUCCGUCCAAAUUUGUUGAAGUACUUAAAAUAUUAGAACUAAGCAAUAAAAUUCCUUAUACACCUAUUUUUAUGUAACUUUUAAAGAAAUACAUAUUACUUUUUACUAUUUAA
Cydia fagiglandana is the source of this 1697-nucleotide long non-coding RNA. RefSeq lists it as uncharacterized. NCBI's taxonomy places the organism in Eukaryota, Metazoa, Arthropoda, Insecta, Lepidoptera, Tortricidae. The transcript has 2 exons. The record is from RefSeq and is a predicted model, not a curated record.